UUCCGGUUGAUCCCGCCGGAGGCUACCGCUAUUGGAGUUCGAUUAAGCAUGCGAGUCUAGAGGCCUAGCCUCGGCGUACCGCUCAGUAACACGUGGGUAACCUACCCUAUGCUGGGGGAUAAGCUCGGGAAACUGAGAAUAAUACCCCAUAGUCCACUACGCCUGGAACGGUGAGUGGAACAAAGCUCCGGCGGCAUAGGAUGGGCCUGCGGCGUAUCAGGUUGUAGGGGGUGUAACGUACCCUCUAGCCAUCCACGCGUACGGGUGUUGGGAGACAUAGCCCGGAGAUGGAUUCUGAGACACGAAUCCAGACCCUACGGGGUGCAGCAGGCGCGAAAACUUGGCAAUGCGAGAAAUCGUGACCAGGGAACUCCAAGUGGCAGGGGUAAGACCCUGUCUUUUUCCGACUCUAAAUAGGUCGGCGAAUAAGGGGUGGGUAAGGACGGUGCCAGCCGCCGCGGUAAUACCGGCGCCUCAAGUGGUAGUCGCUUUUAUUGGGCCUAAAACGUCCGUAGCCGGUUUGGUACAUUCGUGGGUAAAUCAACUCGCUUAACGGGUUGAAUUCUGCGAGGACGGCCAGACUUGGGACCGGGAGAGGUGUGGGGUACUCUCAGGGUAGGGGUAAAAUCCUGUCAUCCUGAGAGGACCACCUGUUGCGAAGGCUCCACACUAGAACGGAUCCGACGGUCAGGGACGAAGCCUAGGGGCACGAACCGGAUUAGAUACCCGGGUAGUCCUAGGUGUAAACGCUGUGGACUUGAUGUUGGGGACGCUCCGAGCGUUCUCAGUGUCGAAGCGAAGGUGAUAAGUCCACUGCCUGGGGAGUACGGUCGCAAGGCUGAAACUUAAAGGAAUUGGCGGGGGAGCACCGCAACCUGAGGAUUGUGCGGUUUAAUUGGAGUCAACGCCGGA
This 912-nucleotide ribosomal RNA is filed under the name uncultured archaeon. Its description in RNAcentral is "bacterial SSU rRNA". It matches the Rfam family "Archaeal small subunit ribosomal RNA", at positions 1 to 922 of the family's 1478-position model. The record is from RNAcentral.